Molecule: ribosomal RNA, 325 nt
Filed under: uncultured eukaryote
Lineage: Eukaryota
Description: partial 18S ribosomal RNA
Rfam family: Eukaryotic small subunit ribosomal RNA
Source: RNAcentral
CCCCUAGAUGUUCUGGGCCGCACGCGCGCUACACUGAACAGUUCAACAAGUCUUAACCUUGGCCGAUAGGUCUGGGUAAUCUUUGAACGCUGUUCGUGAUUGGGAUAGACCUUUGCAAUUAUGGGUCUUCAACGAGGAAUUCCUAGUAAACGCAAGUCAUCAGCUUGCAUUGAUUACGUCCCUGCCCUUUGUACACACCGCCCGUCGCACCUACCGAUUGAAUGGUCCGGUGAAAACCUCGGAUUCCUGUUUAUUUCUAGCAAUAGAGAUUUACGGGGAGAAGUCGUUUAAACCUUACCAUUUAGAGGAAGGUGAAGUCGUAACA